AAAACAAACAUGGUUUUACAGAAUGUUUUGCACUUUCCAUUUGAAAAGAGCUCUGAUUUCUUAAAAAUGAAAAUUUAUUUGGUCUAAAUCAAAGUGAUUUUUUUCGUUUGAAAGUUUUUUUUUCAUGUUCCCAUUGUAAAACUAAAAGUUCUUCCAUUCAACCUUAAAAUAGUAGAACUGUCAAAUAACUCAAUGAUAAACCAAGCAAAAAGAAAACAAAAAGAAAGACAAAUGAAGAUAAGUUUCCGUUACGCAUCGGCACUAUAGCAUGGUAAAAAUAUAGAUGUGCAUUCUCAACCUAUCACCGUCGAGCUGUCAACGCCUCUCGCCUCACCAGUUCAAACGAUCACAACAGCGGAUACGACAGCAAAACUGUUGCUUUUCAAAAUUAUGCGGGAAAGUGUUUUCGGAUGUUCUUUAAAUUCAAUGCCUCGAAUUCGUGCAGUCCAAAUCAAUAUACAAAUAUCGGAGGACAUAGGAAAUGUAUGGCGCAAUGUUCCCAGACGGCUUCGAUUUCCAACCAAACCCCAGCCAGGGACCGGAUCUCGUUCUGGGGCAAUCACAGUGGCCACCGUGUUGAAAUGCUGCAACCUACAUCAUCUAGAAAAACUGCUUGAAAUCAUGAAAUAAAAAUAAAAGUAUCAUUGCGAUUAGAUUAUUUAAA
Molecule: long non-coding RNA, 664 nt
Organism: Armigeres subalbatus
Lineage: Eukaryota; Metazoa; Arthropoda; Insecta; Diptera; Culicidae
Exons: 3
Source: RefSeq, a predicted model, not a curated record